Molecule: long non-coding RNA, 2837 nt
Filed under: Nicotiana tabacum (common tobacco)
Lineage: Eukaryota; Viridiplantae; Streptophyta; Magnoliopsida; Solanales; Solanaceae
Description: long non-coding RNA (NTAB_LNC018466)
Source: RNAcentral
ACAGCCUUGCGUUCGCUCCUUAUGGACCUAACUGGAGACAACUUAGAAAAGUAUGUGUCAUGGAGCUCCUAACUGCAAAGUAUGUUCAAAAGGCACAAGCUGAGGUGGAAUAAACUCAUCUUUAUGCUUGCAUUUCUUAUCAAAAGCUGCCCUGGCAGUUAUGCUAUUCAUCAUUGAGAAGAACAUUUUACUUGAUGGAAAAGGCACAAGCUGAGGUGAGAAAGGUACUUGAAGGGAAAAGUAAAAUGGCAGAAUCAGAACUUCAAAAGCUUACAUGAAAUUGGUUAUCAAAGCAACGGUGCAAAUGCAUCCACCUUUACCUUUGUUACUACCAAGAGAAGCUAAAGAAAAAUGUGAAAUUGGUGGCUAUGAAAUACAACCAAAAACUAAAGUCAUCAUCAAUGCAUGGGCAAUAGGUAGACAUCCAGAGCAGGGGGGAAAAUGCUGAAUGCUUUGAACCAGAAAAAUUUCAAGAUUCUGCGUUUGAUUUCAUAGGGACUAAUUUGAGUACAUACCAUUUGGAGCUGGCAGAAGGAUAUGUCCACAGAAAUUAUUUGGAAUUGUACAUGUUGAACUUCCACUUACCAAGCUGCUAUUUCAUUUUGACUGGAAACUCCCCCGAUGGAAUUUAACUUGACAUGACUGACACUUUUGGGGCAACAGUUGGGAGAAAGAAUGAUUUGUACUUGGUUGCAACACCUUAUAUUUCUAAAUCCUAAGAAUUACUGAUGCCCAAGUAUGCACAUGGAACUUCCUUUCAUUUUUUCCUCUGUUAUUUAUUACUGUUAUAUAACUGUCAGUCUGUAACACAAUGAAUAGCAACACUACACUUAGUAUUUAACAUUUCUUAUAGUCAAUAAUAUGCCCAAGUGUAAAAAAAAAAGCACUCUUAUCUAAGUGUCUGCAGUAGUAUAUGCUGGAAUACAGAAUAGGACCGAAGAUUACCAGUCCAUUUAUUCCCUGCUCCUAUAUGCUCGAUCUCAGGUUGAUACAUCUAAAACAACUUAAGAAAGGAAUAAUAACAAUAUUAAUACUUCUUGUUUCCCAAUCAACUGCAAGUUGCCCUUUAUUUGGAUAUACCUAUCUAGAACUGGAAACAUGCAAUAACCUAAAAUAAACAAGCAGCAUUGAGAGAGCAAAGAUCAGAUUUGCCAAGAAAGGGAAGCCGCAAACAAAAUCUAAGAUAAUAUGGAAAUUAUUGUAACCUUCUCUUGCCAAAACAGAGCACUUUGAAGAUUACUACAGAACUCUAAAUACAUUGCUCUUAGAAGCCCUUAUGAAAUAAAAUCUGAACUUCCCAAAAUACCAACAUUCGUAUAUGUAAUUGCUGAUAUUAAUCCUAGCAAAAUAAAUUAAGAUAGCAUAAAAAUGCUUUAAAAAGGUUAAAUCGUAAAAGUCUAUGAAAGCAUCUUCUGUCUAGAUCUCUAGUUUCCUUUCUAGACCUAUAAGCUUUAAACUUUAGCUUAUUUGUGCUAAUCAAACACAUGCUUCCUCUGUUAGUGAUCCCUUCGACAAUAUAAGAAUCCUCUGUGCUACUCUCCUUACUUAAAUUAGUUCAUUUAAAUUAGUUGUCAAACAUCAUAAGGAACUUGCCAAAGAGGAAGACACUAAAAUGAGCAAGGUCUGUUACAUUGUCAUUGUGAUUUACCGUGAUAUAAGUUCUUAGAAAAAUCUGCAAACUUUGACCAUAAGAAUAGGAUCCCUUCUCCAGAGGAUCCUACAAGGACAAUAUUCCUACAUUGCAGAUUCAAACAUUUAUAUCGUGUCCAUUUGCAAGUGAAACAUUACUUUGAUCACACCUGAUGCUGACAAAUGACAGUCAUCAUCCUAAUUCAUCACACAAACAAUUUUUUUUCCACAAACAAAUUCCUAUAAGAAUUCUAUAUGCAUUUUAUAGGCAUCAUCCUACUUGUGUGGCAAAGAUCGAUAUAUGCAAAGUAUACGACAUUGUGAGCUACAUAUGUUUAUGUGUCUGUUGUAAGUGGGGUUUGAAUGUUUUUAAUAUAGUUUCUUUGCUGGAGGACGAGCAAGAAGUUCAAGAUGACUUUGCAUAAGCUUCACCUUUUUUAUUUAUUUAUUUUAAAUAAACAUUAAUGCUAACUAAAUUCCAAAAAAAAAAAACUUUACUCAUGAGGUGGUGAAUAUUUCCCAAUACCAUAUAAUGUAAUAACAACUCAUUUCAUCAACAAAUGUGACACAUAAAUUGUACUAUACUGUGACUCAACGUAUGAAAGACCAAAAAAGAGUAAGAAGGAAAACUACAAAAGGGAACAUCUAGCUAAUAAAAACAAGGAUCAGAGAACCAAUACGAAAAUUUAUUGUCUCCUUUAUGCCUUACUUUCCGGUGAUAGCAAUUGUACACUGCUCUUUCAUUAUUUAAUUUGAUACAGCCAUAUCAAAUUGCAAGAAUAGCUAUCUAAUCUACCUUCAUUCUGUUCAGAAUACUCAUUUUACCCUAAUUACAAAAGCAUUAUCAGUAAUUACGUCCAAAAAAACAUAAUGAUAAGCCAAAAUCUGCACAUGUAAGUUGAAACCUUGUACUAAAGAUGAAAACUUUGCCAACUGCCCCAUCUUCCUACUACCCAAAUGUCAUACACAACAAUUAGCAGGAACCCAUAUACCAUAUAAAAACAAGAAGCUUUUACAUAUACACCCACAGGAAAUAACCAUAAACAAAAAAAAACGCUAAAACUUGAGAAACACACCGUGAAUCGGAGAAUGAAGAAAAAAAUUUGGACCAUUUCUCGAUUUGUGCGUGUCAUCCUUGCGCAGGGGCCAUGCUAAUCUUCUCUGUAUCGUUCCAAUUUUAUCGGAUGUCCCCGAAGGGACGAGCUAGC